CAUGCAGAUACCAUCCGAUCACCCUAUCCUUUUCAGACACUGCAGCUGGAAUGAUAUCUGUGGAGUCAAUUUAGAGUCACAAUAGAUCUGUGUCUGUGUAAACUAAUCUGUGCGUGCCUAACCAGAUUUUUACACACACAUUGGUAAACACAUUUUUAGGCAUUACGCUGGUGACAACCUGUGACACAGAAAGGGAACAGGUAUCAACCCAUUUCUUGAUGAUUUGAGUAUUCAGGCCUGAGACUCAGCUCCACACAUUGAGUUUCUCCCUAUAAUAGAUCAGGAAAUAAACAAAUUCAACGAUUUUAAUAAAAAGAUGUUAAGAAUUAUUUUUAACAUAGAUUAGUGGACAGAUGUGAUUUUCUAUUUUGAGUUAUCAUAAUCAUAUUAUCCGGUGAUUUCCAGGUGAGGUGAGGCUUUGCCUCCACUGACAGCACAUCAAUGCUGUUGCCUUGAUGAUGGUUGAUUUAAAUUUAACUUGCUAACUGGAAUCUGCCUCUUUGGAAAACUGCAAACAAAAUGCAAAGAUUUCUGUGAUUUUUUUUUCUUUUUACAUAUAAUACAUAAACAUAGAUUGUUUUUGCAGGGAUGGCAUGUCCAUGGAAACACUAGCCGGUUUGAAUCUUAAACUUUGUGCAUUGAAAAAUGUUUACUUUAACAUCUUUCCCUAUAUUUAAUCAAAUAGAAUUUUACACAUUUUGAAAGGAAGAAAUGCCACGUCUGCAUUUCUGUUGAAGAACCCAGCUCCACCUCCCACAACAGCAGGCAGACAGUUCAGCAUUUUCGCUGUCUCAAAAUCAACCAAGGCCGCAACUGCAAAAGUUUGUCUGAAGCAGGUUACCCGACCUGGGCAACACUGUUACAUGAACGCCUUGCAGGCCCUCCUGACCCUGGAGCCUUUCAUCCAUGAGUUCUACUGCCAGGUGCAAAUUGCAAGUUCCAGCUUCAUCUUCCGGCACGCCAGGAUGGUUGCACAGUUUGAGCUUGACUUUGACCACGACGAUAUAAACUGACGCUUGUCUGUUCAUGCUGCAGUUCAUGUCAUUGGACCUGCAGAGAGCUCACAUCAAUUUUCAGAUGUCGAAAACCCUGACGAUGUGGGAUGCAGUCCAUGACUUAUCAUGGCUCAACAGCUUUGAGCUGGCACUGUUCCCUAGACAUUCAGUGGAGCAGUGUCUGGACGUGUACCUGAAACGACAACCACACUUCCAUUAGUGUAGCUGUGAUGGAGACACUGUGGAACACUGGUCAUUUGUGACCCUGCCAAAGGUUCAUUGACAUGGAGGGACAGCGAAAGUGAAGAUGCCCACCAAUCUGUCACUGUAUCUGAUAACAACAACAUGUAUUGUAACAGUCCAGCUGACGAUGGUGACCAGUGUUCCAUAUCUUCUUAAGCCAUUCUUCAUGUGUGGGUGUCUGCAGAGAUGGGCUAGGCAGUCUUACCAACAGCUGAUUGAGAUGCAACCAUGAGUCAGUCAGCCAGAAAUCAGGCUACUCGAUCGGUCUCAUGGAAGUGAUCAAAGAGAUGGUGGUGACAACAAAGAGCAGAUGGGCCAAGAGUUAGCUUCAUCGUGGGCCAUUUGGGCCCAUUAACAGAUGAUGUAUUUCGCAGACUUGUCGUAGACUUGUUACGACUGCACCAGCUGUUUCCUGGACCUGGUUCCGUCUCCAUCACAGGCUGCAGGUGACACCUUGUAUCCAUAUCUCAAGUCAUCAGAAUCAGCAGAGUUGUUGCCUCAAUGCCUGUUGAAAUGUUCUUAAAGCCUGGGUGACAUUAAAACUAUUACACUGAAGCCAUGGAGAAGGUGAAAGAGAGGAGGAUGUGAUGCAUUUUGGACAAUACCUCUAACCCGCUGCAUCAGACUGUGGAGGGUCUGUGCAGCUCCAUCAGUGACAGACCGAUACCGCCAGUCUAGGAAGCAGUGUUACCACAGAUUUUUCAUUCCCAGCUAUUGUCUAACUCCACAUUUUAACCUCACACUUGAUGUAUGUGCACAGCUUGUUUUUAUUUAUUUUGAUUUAUGUUAAUUAUGAGGCCCAUUUUGUAUAUUGUUUAUAUUCUAAUUAUAGUUUUUGUACACUUUAACCUUUUUUUAAACCCGUUGGUUGAGAGCUGCUUAAGAAGUGUAAUUCUCUGAUGUGAGAUCAGUAAAGAUUUAUCUUUAUCUUGUAACACUACAGAGGGCCCAACCUCAACUACAAACUGUUUUUCUUCAAAAUCUCAUUUGGCAGUUUGUUACCUACCCUAAAUUAAUGUAAACGCAGUUUAAUGGAACAACCAAUCAGUCCUUCAAUAACAGUUCAUGGAAUCAAUUAUUUAGAGCUGUAAAAUAUGAAACAUUUACUAAGUAAUAGAAAACACCUAAUGUUCUUUCAGUGCCUGAGGAUGUUAUGAAGAAGGUGAACUAAUGAUCCACUACUUAUUUGUCAGUUUUAUGAAUUGGUUAGAACUUCUAUAACUACCACAACUGCAGAAUAUCGAUAUUGAAAUAUUUCCUCUUAAACAGUUAUAAUCCAGUAUAUAUCAAUUCAUGUCAGAAAUAAAGAUGGACACUUAAGCCCUUUACAGCAGCUAUUGAAACGGGAUGUCUGCACCUUAUUACUUUAACCGUACUGCUUCUACAGUAUGUGCCCUACUUAUUGUUCUUAACUGCUCUGAGCUCAUUUUAUGCAUUGCGCACUGUAAAGAGCUUUGCAAGUUUGAUUCCUGUGUAUGUUUGAUACAUAUGGUAUUGACAAUGACACUGACCUUUAAAAAGAUGAAAAGACUGUGGUCUUAGUAAAUGUGUAAAAUAAAAUAUUUCUAUUUCCAAUCAUUCGUGGAUACAUUUGUAGAGAUACAAGUAACAGUACAUCAAACAAAGUCAGCCAACUCCUGUAAAGAGCUCUACCUUGCUCCUUAGUAGCUAAAUAAAAAAAAUGCCACCUUUAACAGUGGGAAAAUCCAAGUGCAUGCUGGCAAAACUUGUAACUGUGACUGUUUGAAAUCCAAAUAUUCAAAAUUACUCAUCAUGAUAAGACAGUAGCAAAAUAUUACAUAUCAAGAAAGAAAGGCUAACAUGAAAAGAGUAUUCUUUAAGACAUGGUUACAGAAACAACAAUUUUAUAGAGACUAGUAACAAACAGACCCCUCUCAAAAGCAGGUCCUUCAGAAGCUAAGGAAGAAUGUAUGGGUUUCAGUGUGGGCCAUGUAAUCUGUGGGGAUAUGGGCAGAAAGACACAAUCAAACCACCAGUCUGCCAGG
This is a long non-coding RNA of Betta splendens (Siamese fighting fish), 3244 nucleotides long. RefSeq lists it as uncharacterized. The transcript is spliced from 9 exons. NCBI's taxonomy places the organism in Eukaryota, Metazoa, Chordata, Actinopteri, Anabantiformes, Osphronemidae. The record is from RefSeq and is a predicted model, not a curated record.